RNAcentral lists this transfer RNA (73 nucleotides) under Gemmatimonadales bacterium. RNAcentral describes it as "tRNA-Lys". It matches the Rfam family "tRNA". Rfam says of the family: Transfer RNA (tRNA) molecules are approximately 80 nucleotides in length. The record is from RNAcentral. Lineage: Bacteria; Pseudomonadati; Gemmatimonadota; Gemmatimonadia; Gemmatimonadales.
GGCCGGGUAGCUUAGUUGGUAGAGCAACGGACUUUUAAUCCGCAGGUCGUGGGUUCGACCCCCACCCCGGUCA